GCGGAGUGCUUAAUGCGUUAACUGCGGCACCGAGGUUCGACCCCCGACACCUAGCACUCAUCGUUUACGGCGUGGACUACCAGGGUAUCUAAUCCUGUUCGCUCCCCACGCUUUCGUGCCUCAGCGUCAGUUGCAGUCCAGAGAGUCGCCUUCGCCACUGGUGUUCCUCCUAAUAUCUACGCAUUUCACCGCUACACUAGGAAUUCCACUCUCCUCUCCUGCACUCAAGCCCUACAGUUUCAAAGGCUUACUACGGUUGAGCCGUAGCCUUUGACCUCUGACCUAUAGGGCCGCCUACGCACCCUUUACGCCCAAUGAUUCCGGAUAACGCUUGCCCCCUACGUAUUACCGCGGCUGCUGGCACGUAGUUAGCCGGGGCUUCCUCCUAAGGUACCGUCAUUAUCUUCCCUUAGGACAGAGCUUUACGACCCGAAAGCCUUCAUCGCUCACGCGGCGUUGCUGCAUCAGGCUUUCGCCCAUUGUGCAAUAUUCCCCACUGCUGCCUCCCGUAGAGUCUGGACCGUGUCUCAGUUCCAGUGUGGCCGUUCACCCUCUCAGGCCGGCUACUGAUCGUCGCCUUGGUGAGCCAUUACCUCACCAACUAGCUAAUCAGACGCGGGCCCAUCCUGUACCGAAAUUCUUUGACCUUAUGAGGAUGCCUCUAAAGGUGUWAUGGGGAAUAGCAAUGGUUCCCAUUGUAAUCCCCUGWCAGGGAGGUUGCCACGCGUACUCACCGUCCGCGCUAAGUAAGUYAUUCACCCGAAGCUUYCUGAAAWACUCCGCYGACUUGAAAAAAAAGGANSCGCARCGUUAUCCUG
This 818-nucleotide ribosomal RNA is filed under the name Alkaliphilus sp. 1-IA. RNAcentral describes it as "partial 16S ribosomal RNA". Lineage: Bacteria; Bacillati; Bacillota; Clostridia; Peptostreptococcales; Natronincolaceae. The record is from RNAcentral.